RNA transcript from Cydia splendana, 2739 nucleotides. RefSeq lists it as uncharacterized. The transcript is spliced from 4 exons. Lineage: Eukaryota; Metazoa; Arthropoda; Insecta; Lepidoptera; Tortricidae. The record is from RefSeq and is a predicted model, not a curated record.
UAUAUUUUAUGUUUAUAGUUAUUAAAUAAAGACAAAUGGAACGAGACGGAGCCCGAAGAGGAAACCGAGGAAAUAAAGAGGGUACACCAGAUGUUCAACGCUUGCGACGCAACGCCUUGUCCCCAGAAAUGCGUCUUUGAGAGAACCGGAAUGGUAGAUAAGAACGGACGGUACGUGCUGCGUGAAAUAUCCAGAUGGAUCAAGAAGUGGCACAAACGACCCGGCCUCAGCGAAAUUAUAACCGACAUAAUCGCUAUACGUUGCAUGGAUGGUGAAUAUUGGGACAGGACGGUACUUAAUUUUGAGGAAUGCGUUCGAGCUAAGAAAAUGCUGAUUUGCUUAAGACUGCGUCCAGCAAAAUCAGCGAAAAAGGCAGUCACCGUUUAGUCGCUAGCGUUCACAUCUCUUGAUAAAAAAAAUAUAAUAAAUGUCAUUAUUAUCUCAAAGAGUGUGUUUACAACAAAUCACCCUUGAAAAUCUGAAAUCUUUUACAAUAUAAUAAAUACUCUUAUGCAAAGUUGUACCUAAAACGAGAUGAACGAGUGUCAGCGUUUAGUAAAAUUUGUAUAAAAAAAUCGAUGCUCAAGCUAUAAAAUCGAGUGAUUUCGAAAGCCAGAUAACUGGACUACAACGAAUCAGGCUUUUCCUAUUUUUCCUCUUAAAGGCAACAGAGAAAUUCCAUCGUAAACGUAAAAUUUCCAUACAUCCGCCAUAUCUGUCAAAUUCUCCUUUGAAUCAGAUGCGCGCUGUGGCUCCUCCGGAGCGUUCGCGUACCUGGAUCUCCCAUUUUGACAUUUCGUUAUGGCAUAUAUAUUGACAGAAAUUCAUGUCCGUAUACGAAUGAUGAUACCAGUGAAAAACUGUGUUCAAAAUAAAUAGGGUAAAUUAAUAAUGUCACACGGAGAUCUAGAGUCAUUAAAAUUUUGAUUUGUUUUUAUUCACAAGUCAUAAUACUUUAAAAAUAUAAGUAACAAAUUAUUUAAAAAAUAUACGAACACAACCAAAUCAGUGUAAUUAGUUUCUUCCUAAUUCACUCAAAAUGAAAAAAGUUUGAAGAUUUGUUUUUUCUUAUUGGAAUAUAUUUUCAUUGUGCUGGCAUUCAUAUUACGUCAUUUUAAAAACAUAUAUGACAUAAUGUCAAUAUACUAGACAGACAAUUUAUCAACAAAAUUCUUCACAUUUUAACAUGAUUUUAACGUAAACAAUUUUAAUUAUUAAAAUUUUAUUUAUGAAGACACAUAAAUAAAAUUAUUUAUGUUGUUCACAUAAUUUCAGCAAUAAAAUUCUUAGUUUCAACCAGUUUUGUUGCUAUUCUAAGAGCUAUCACGUGCUUUGAAAGUUAAUUCAAUGCUAUAUCAUCAAGAAAUUGAAAUCAAGACUCGACCUGCAGUCUCAGCGAGUUUUUGUGGCUAUAUUAUCAGUUGAAAGAACGAUAUUUAAAGCCAAUACCAUCGCAGUGGUCUGGCUUACGAGUACCUAUAUUGGUUUCAUGUGACGAUUUUUAUAUAAAUGUAUCUAUCAAAUAACAAUGUGCUUUUAUUUCAUUGAUAUUCGGUGCAAAACGAUAACUCAGUAACGAAAUAGAAUUAUCAGAAAUGCCUUUGGGUUUUUUCAGUGAACGUUUAUAUUUAUGAGGUCGUUUAUGAUGUCUUAUGUUUUAUCAGCGUGGCUUUGGCCUUUGGACAUUUUUGUAAUGCUUUGUAAUAAGGUACUUAUGUGAGGUAUCUAUAUCCCUAAUUGUAAUAACCUUUUUUUGAAUGAAUUACAUUUUAAUUAUUUAAAUAAAAAAGUGGUCCAAAAAAAUAAACAUCCGCUCGUUCCGCUAAAAUAAUUUAAGUGCCCUACAUAAUAUUAAUCUUGAACUUGUACUAUGACUAAGAAGGCCCACCGUCAGUGCAAGUAACAAGGCCCGGUUCCGAACCAAUAUGGUAUGUUUUAUAAAACGUGUAUUUUUCAAAAGCGCCGGAAUAUUUUUAUAACUAUUUUGGUAUAUGAAGAAACAUGAACAAAUGAGAAACCUAUAUUGAAAUGAAUUGGUAAUAAUAUCCUGAUUAUUUAUAAAACUAUUUCAGUUAAAAUAAAGGUAUAUGCCUCACCUGACCUUAUUCGUUCACAUUUAGAUCCUAUAGCUAUAUUUGGUCACUUUGGCCGUCACUAUAUCUAUUUGAUGCCGAUUGUACUAACAAUUAAAAGUACAGCUCAUAUGUACUUUUACAUGUACUGAAACUUAAGCAUUUGAGCGUAAUUAAUGAUGUUCACUGAUUAUUAACAUUACGUGUUAAAGAAUCGUGUCCCGAUUUGGGCCAUGGUGCGUCCAUUGAUGAAUCGCAUACUAACGGAUAGAGGUUUACGAGUACAUUCACGGAAAAAUAGUUUCAUUGUUAACUGAAGUGGGCAUAUGAUUAUAGGCAACCCAAUACUGGUGGCUUAGUUGCCGUUUAUAAAUCUGAAGAUUCUUCAUGGAUACUGUCAAAUCUUAUAAAAUAUGUCUCCCAUUUCUGUUCAUGGAGGUUUUAUUAGUUGUGUUAGAUGCUUUGCAUACCGUUAUUACCAAAUAAUGGGCUGAUUUGGCCCGGUAGCAACGAGAUCGUACCGUGUACCAAAAAGAAGGGAAGAGGGGAAAUGGUCGGCUCCCCAGGACCAAUCUAUGCUAUACUUCUUCAUGCUCUUAGCAACUAGGGCAAGUUAUAUAUCAUCUUUGUAUAAUUUAGGUACGAGGAAUUCAGUUUUUAAAUAAUC